CCUACGGGAGGCAGCAGUCGAGAAUUUUUCUCAAUGGGGGAAACCCUGAAGGAGCGACGCCGCGUGGAGGAUGAAGGUCUUCGGAUUGUAAACUCCUGUCAUUAGGGAACAAUGCACUGGGUAGUAACUGACCUGGUGUUGAUAGUACUUAAAGAGGAAGAGACGGCUAACUCUGUGCCAGCAGCCGCGGUAAUACAGAGGUCUCAAGCGUUGUUCGGAUUCAUUGGGCGUAAAGGGUGCGUAGGUGGCGGUGUAAGUCGGAUGUGAAAUCUCGGGGCUCAACCCCGAAACUGCAUUCGAUACUGCUCUGCUAGAGGGCUGGAGAGGAGAUCGGAAUUCACGGUGUAGCAGUGAAAUGCGUAGAUAUCGUGAGGAAGACCAGUGGCGAAGGCGGAUCUCUGGACAGUUCCUGACACUGAGGCACGAAGGCUAGGGGAGCAAACGGGAUUAGAUACCCUAGUAGUC
This 465-nucleotide ribosomal RNA is filed under the name uncultured bacterium. RNAcentral's name for it is "bacterial SSU rRNA". It matches the Rfam family "Bacterial small subunit ribosomal RNA", at positions 338 to 795 of the family's 1533-position model. The record is from RNAcentral.